Molecule: ribosomal RNA, 253 nt
Filed under: uncultured bacterium
Lineage: Bacteria
Description: partial 16S ribosomal RNA
Rfam family: Bacterial small subunit ribosomal RNA
Source: RNAcentral
UACGGAGGGGGCUAGCGUUGUUCGGAAUUACUGGGCGUAAAGCGCACGUAGGCGGCUUUGUAAGUUAGAGGUGAAAGCCCGGAGCUCAACUCCGGAAUUGCCUUUAAGACUGCAUCGCUAGAAUUGUGGAGAGGUAAGUGGAAUUCCGAGUGUAGAGGUGAAAUUCGUAGAUAUUCGGAAGAACACCAGUGGCGAAGGCGGCAUCCUGGACCGGUAUUGACGCUGAGGCGCGAAAGCCAGGGGAGCAAACGGG